RNAcentral lists this ribosomal RNA (484 nucleotides) under uncultured bacterium. RNAcentral describes it as "partial 16S ribosomal RNA". It matches the Rfam family "Bacterial small subunit ribosomal RNA", at positions 28 to 523 of the family's 1533-position model. The record is from RNAcentral.
GAUGAACGCUGGCGGCGUGCUUAACACAUGCAAGUCGAACGGUGAAGCAGGAGCUUGCUCUUGUGGAUCAGUGGCGAACGGGUGAGUAACACGUGAGCAACCUGCCCCUGACUCUGGGAUAAGCGCUGGAAACGGCGUCUAAUACUGGAUAUGUGAUGUGACCGCAUGGUCUGCAUCUGGAAAGAAUUUCGGUUGGGGAUGGGCUCGCGGCCUAUCAGCUUGUUGGUGAGGUAAUGGCUCACCAAGGCGUCGACGGGUAGCCGGCCUGAGUGGGUGACCGGCCACACUGGGACGGAGACACUGCCCAGACUCCUACGGGUGGCAGCAGUGGGAAAUAUUGCACAAUGGGCGGAAGCCUGAUGCAUCAACGCCGCGUGAGGGAUGACGGCCUUCGGGUUGUAAACCUCUUUUAGCAGGGAAGAAGCGAAAGUGACGGUACCUGCAGAAAAAGCACCGGCUAACUACGUGCCAGCCGCCGCCGUAA